RNAcentral lists this ribosomal RNA (368 nucleotides) under uncultured organism. Its description in RNAcentral is "bacterial SSU rRNA". It matches the Rfam family "Bacterial small subunit ribosomal RNA", at positions 526 to 896 of the family's 1533-position model. The record is from RNAcentral.
CGUAGGUGCAAGCGUUAAUCGGAUUACUGGCGUAAGCGUGCGCAGGCGGUUAUGUAAGACAGAUGUGAAAUCCCCGGGCUCAACCUGGGAACUGCAUUUGUGACUGCAUAGCUAGAGUACGGUAGAGGGGGAUGGAAUUCCGCGUGUAGCAGUGAAAUGCGUAGAUAUGCGGAGGAACACCGAUGGCGAAGGCAAUCCCCUGGACCUGUACUGACGCUCAUGCACGAAAGCGUGGAUAGCAAACAGGAUUAGAUACCCUGGUAGUCCACGCCCUAAACGAUGUCAACUAGGUGUUGGGUGGGUAAAACCAUUUAGUACCGGAGCUAACGCGUGAAGUUGACCGCCUGGGGAGUACGGCCGCAAGGUUA